AGGACGAACGCUGGCGGCGCGCCUAACACAUGCAAGUCGAGCGAUAACCAGUCCUUCGGGACUGGGGACAGCGGCGAACGGGUGAGUAACACGUGGGUGAUCUACCCUCGGUUUCGGGAUAGCCCGGGGAAACCCGGAUUAAUACCGAAUGGCCUCUAGAGCUCUCGGGCUCGAGAGAAAAGGUAGCUUCGGCCUCUGACCGAGGAUGAGCCCGCGGCCGAUUAGCUAGUUGGUGGGGUAACGCCCACCAAGGCGACGAUCGGUAGCUGGUCUGAGAGGACGAUCAGCCACACUGGGACUGAGACACGGCCCAGACUCCUACGGGA
RNAcentral lists this ribosomal RNA (326 nucleotides) under uncultured soil bacterium. RNAcentral describes it as "bacterial SSU rRNA". It matches the Rfam family "Bacterial small subunit ribosomal RNA", at positions 26 to 346 of the family's 1533-position model. The record is from RNAcentral.